This 449-nucleotide ribosomal RNA is filed under the name uncultured bacterium. RNAcentral's name for it is "partial 16S ribosomal RNA". It matches the Rfam family "Bacterial small subunit ribosomal RNA", at positions 29 to 523 of the family's 1533-position model. The record is from RNAcentral.
AACGAACGCUGGCGGCAGGCCUAACACAUGCAAGUCGAACGCUCUAGCAAUAGAGAGUGGCAGACGGGUGAGUAACGCGUGGGAAACUUCCUAGGGGUACGGAAUAGCUCAGGGAAACUUGGGGUAAUACCGUAUGAUGCCGUAAGGCCAAAGAUUUAUCGCCCUUAGAUGUGCCCGCGUCGGAUUAGCUAGUUGGUGAGGUAACGGCUCACCAAGGCGACGAUCAGUAGCUGGUUUGAGAGAAGAACCAGCCACACUGGGACUGAGACACGGCCCAGACUCCUACGAGAGGCAGCAGUGGGGAAUCUUGGACAAUGGGCGAAAGCCUGAUCCAGCCAUGCCGCGUGAGUGACGAAGGCCUUAGGGUUGUAAAGCUCUUUUGCCGGGGACGAUAAUGACGGUACCCGGAGAAGAGGCCCCGGCUAACUUCGUGCCAGCCGCCGCAGUAA